AGGAUCUUAAUGAUGAGCAAUGAUCUUUUCUUCAGUGUUUUGGCACGUGCUCUGCAGAGCCCCUGAGGCAAAAAGUAGUGAGUUGAACAACUGUUCAGGAAAGAAAAUAACUUGCCUCAAGAGAUACUAAUUUUACAAAGGCUGCUCCCAUUAGAGGCUGACAAGGACACGGGUGAGCACGGAUUAAAGGAAUGAUGUGUCCCAGAUUGCGUCUUCUCCUCUACCCUGCAUCCAAGGCACCGAUGAGAACUGACUUCAUGGUUCUGAGGACCAAACAAGUCCGGGGAAGAAACAGCCAGGUGGAUGCUGCAGGAACACGAAGCAAGGCAGUUUGUUUGGCAGAGCAGAGCGGGGGAGGAGUGUGUCAAGAUGUAGACAGAUCCUCUAACAGGGAUUUUUGCCACAGGUAAAAAAUGCUACUUUGAGAUGACAAAGAGC
Molecule: long non-coding RNA, 438 nt
Filed under: Anser brachyrhynchus (Pink-footed goose)
Lineage: Eukaryota; Metazoa; Chordata; Aves; Anseriformes; Anatidae
Description: lncRNA (ENSABRG00000017056.1)
Source: RNAcentral